CCAGUCAGGGAUAGUGAAGACCUCCUGUCCUGGUAUUGAAGUCAUGAUCAGAGCUAUCCAGCCCACCCCAAAAUUUCAAUUACUUUGAAUACCAGAAAGAAGGGAAUGAGGUCUAGGUUUCCUCCUUCUACGAAUGCUCUGGGAAUUCUCAGGAAAACCAGAUUUUCAAACCAAUGCUUCACUUAGGCCUGGGAAGAUAUUUAGCCAUAAUGGAUCUGCCAACUCCUGACUCCUGUAUAAAAAGUUCCUUUAACCAAGGACAUAUUCAAGCUGAAGCAGGAAAGAUAUUUCUUGUACAUGAAGAAGGGUCAUCUACCCUAUAAGCACCUCAGAAACCAAUGGCCUUCUUACUCACCACUAGGAGGAUUGUACAACUCUAGGAUUCUUCAGCUCUAUGGUCAAAGGAAAUACACCAAACUCAAUAUUUACAUUCUA
Molecule: long non-coding RNA, 435 nt
Organism: Canis lupus familiaris (dog)
Lineage: Eukaryota; Metazoa; Chordata; Mammalia; Carnivora; Canidae
Exons: 3
Source: RefSeq, a predicted model, not a curated record